Molecule: long non-coding RNA, 1261 nt
Organism: Sphaerodactylus townsendi
Lineage: Eukaryota; Metazoa; Chordata; Lepidosauria; Squamata; Sphaerodactylidae
Exons: 2
Source: RefSeq, a predicted model, not a curated record
UUACUGGAGUGGCUGGCGCUUGUGCCAUUAACUAUCCUGUGUUUGCGUCUCAAAGAUGUUUACAAGACACAGUUUCAUAGACUUAAGGAAUGGCGAGCCACCGGCAGUCUGAGUAGAUUAGGGGUGGCUCCAGAUGUUCAUGGACUACAAUUCCCUGGCAGGGGCUGAUGGGAAUUGUAGUCCAGGAACAUCUGGAGCACCAUAGGUUGGCCACCCUUGGAGUAGAUAGUACUGACUUUGAAAGACCAGUGGUCUCAUUCAAUGGUGGUCUUGCAGAUAGUCCCUUUAACUGAUUCCAGAUGUAGCCCGCCAGUGUUCAUGUUUUCUGUACAAAAGGUAAACACACUAAUACUGGGCAUGUCCUUUAUUACUGUCUGUCACAAAAUGUCCUACUCUCAUGUGUGCAAUUCUUUUUUUCCUUCUAGAAAUUCAAAAGCUUGUUGAUUCAGGAGCUGGAUGUACGUUCCCGGAGGACAUGGCCAAGUACAAAGCUAUUCGAGGCGAAGAUCCUUCUCCUUGAGAGAGAAUUAUGUUUUCCACCAUGGUACAUUUUGUUCUCUGGAAAGAACUGCAGAUAGGCUGCUGUGACAAUAUUGACUUGCCCAGAGGACUGAAGAAAUCAGACUUUUCUGCUGGGUGACGUUAUGCGAAAUGUUUUGUCCCUUGGCCAGAGAGCAGGCGGAUUCCCGUGGUGGAUAAUGACUUCAAGACUCUUGGUUCUGGCAGCUGCCUUCUCAUCCUGCCUCUCAGCUCUGUUUUUGUAAUAUGGGGUUCAAAUGUUUCAACAUAACGUGGCCAGCGUGGGAUGGGGAAAGCAGCCCGUUGUUCUUGCAGCCAACUCCAAAAAAAGAGGCAGAAGAAAUGUCCCUGCUUGUUGUCUCUGUCUAAAAAUUAAAGGGCUUGUUUUGUCUUAUGUCUUUGUCAAGGCUUCACGUUGAUCUAAUCUGGUUGUGUGGUGGGUUUUCCCGCUGUAAGUCAGUGGUCUGGCGAAACGUUAGGAAUAAGAUCCACCACUCAGCCUGGAAAACCCACCACCACCAGUUGUUUUGUUUGAUGGCACUGAAGGGCAGCUAGAGUAGAAUUUGUUUAGUUGAUUCUGUACGAAUGAACAAGCCAAAAUGUUUGAAGCACUGUAUAGGAGAAACUUUCUAGCAUUCUCAAUUUUAUAUUUAUGGUAGCAGUCGCCUUUCCAGUAUUCGGAGACUGCAGUUUACUUUACAAUGUUGUUGGGUUAACUUACAUAGUAAAGGUCUUGAAAGAG